AUUGAACGCUGGCGGCAGGCCUAACACAUGCAAGUCGAACGAGUGGGGGGCGGGUGAGUAAUGUCUGUGAAACUGCCUGAUGGGGGGGGAUAACUACUGGAAAAGGUAGCUAAUACCGCAUACCAUCAGAUGUGCCCAGAUGUGAUUAGCUAGUAGGUGGGGUAAAGGUUCACCUAGGCGACGAUCCCUAGCUGGUCUGAGAGGAUGACCAGCCACACUGGAACUGAGACACGGUCCAGACUCCUACGGGAGGCAGCAGUGGGGAAUAUUGCACAAUGGGCGCAAGCCUGAUGCAGCCAUGCCGCGUGUAUGAAGAAGGCCUUCGGGUUGUAAAGUACUUUCAGCGGGGAGGCGUUACCCGCAGAAGAAGCACCGGCUAACUCCGUGCCAGCAGCCGCGGUAAUAC
Molecule: ribosomal RNA, 406 nt
Filed under: uncultured bacterium
Lineage: Bacteria
Description: partial 16S ribosomal RNA
Rfam family: Bacterial small subunit ribosomal RNA
Source: RNAcentral